UACAGAGGAGCCAAGCGUUGUCCGGAUUGACUGGGCGUAAAGCGCACGCAGGCGGACGCGCGCGUGGGGUGUGAAAUCUGGCCGCUUAACGGCCAGGCGCCAUCCCAUACGGCGCGUCGGAGUGAUGCAGAGGUCGGUGGAAUUGCCGGUGUAGUGGUGAAAUGCGCAGAUAUCAGGAGGAACACCGGUGGCGAAGGCGGGGUCUCUGGGCCGAUACUGACGCUGAGGAGCGAAAGCGUGGGGGAGCGAACAGG
This 254-nucleotide ribosomal RNA is filed under the name uncultured bacterium. RNAcentral's name for it is "partial 16S ribosomal RNA". It matches the Rfam family "Bacterial small subunit ribosomal RNA", at positions 524 to 776 of the family's 1533-position model. The record is from RNAcentral.